Molecule: non-coding RNA, 1189 nt
Organism: Vigna umbellata (rice bean)
Lineage: Eukaryota; Viridiplantae; Streptophyta; Magnoliopsida; Fabales; Fabaceae
Source: RefSeq, a predicted model, not a curated record
UAAGAGGAAAAUUAGAAGGAUUAAUAGUUUGUUAAUAAUAUAUUUAUAUUUAUUGUAUAGGACCAUUGAUCCUAAAUUGUAGGGAUAGAUUAUAUCCAUCAUAAAUUAUAAUUCAGUUAUGAAGUCUUUAUAUUCUAUGAAUAAUAUUAAAAGCAUUUUUUUGACAUAUUGCAAUCUUACUUCCUUCUUUCCCCCUUGUUUAACUAUAGGUACGGACAAUAUCAUUAUUUGGUGAAGUAUGGGGCAUAGGACCAUCCACAGCAUUGAAAUUGUAUGAGAAGGGACAUCGUUCAUUAGAUGAUCUUAGGAAUGAUGGCUCACUUACAAAUGCACAAAAGUUAGGGCUGAAAUACUUUGAUGAUAUCAGACAACGGAUUCCACGCCAUGAGGUUCAGGAGAUGGAACACAUUUUACAAAACGCUGGGGAGGACGUUUUACCUGGGGUUGUUAUCAUCUGUGGGGGAUCAUAUAGACGUGGGAAAGCUACCUGUGGAGACAUUGAUAUCAUAAUAACACAUCCCGAUGGACAAAGUCACAAAGGAUUUUUGCCAAAGUUUGUAAAACAUUUAAAGGAUAUGAAUUUCCUAAGAGAGGAUUUAAUUUUCAGUAUUCACAGUGAAGAGGUAAUUUUAGCAUUUUCUUGUUACCUAUAAAUUAUGUGUUUAUUUGGUUGAUUGAUUAAGCUUUCCUGGAAAACAUUGAUAAAAUAUUUCCAGAGAUCAUUAUUCCAUUUGUAUGUUGAUAUCUCAUCAAAGAUAAGGGUUUGAUUGCUUGCUUGCAUAUAAAUAUGAAAAGCGGUAAUAGUUUGUUGAGAUGUAACUUGUAAAUUGCAUUUAAGCUCAACACGUGACAUUUUUCCUUUGUUUGCACAUAUGUGCUAUACAGUUCAUAGGUUGAAAUUUUACAUUUUAAUAAUUAGAAGGAUUGAAUAAGCUACCUUGUAGUACUACACAAAUUUUGAAAUGAUAAGCUAUUAGGAUAAUAAGGAAGGUAGGUGCAAACAAGUUUUUAAUUUGUAUGAUUUAUUAUUCUUUGGAACUUAGAUUGAUCCUAGCUAUUGAUUACCCAUUCACAAGGGAUACAAAUGUUACCAGCCUCCAACAAAAUGAUUCUGUGUCUGUUGAUGUCACCUCUGAUGAAAAAAUCACAAAUUUUCAACCUUAUCUUUAGGGGAAAAACUCAUGUAUUG